UACAGAGGGUGCAAGCGUUAAUCGGAAUUACUGGGCGUAAAGCGCGCGUAGGUGGUUCGUUAAGUUGGAUGUGAAAUCCCCGGGCUCAACCUGGGAACUGCAUUCAAAACUGUCGAGCUAGAGUAUGGUAGAGGGUGGUGGAAUUUCCUGUGUAGCGGUGAAAUGCGUAGAUAUAGGAAGGAACACCAGUGGCGAAGGCGACCACCUGGACUGAUACUGACGCUGAGGUGCGAAAGCGUGGGGAGCAAACAGG
Molecule: ribosomal RNA, 253 nt
Filed under: uncultured bacterium
Lineage: Bacteria
Description: partial 16S ribosomal RNA
Rfam family: Bacterial small subunit ribosomal RNA
Source: RNAcentral